Molecule: ribosomal RNA, 231 nt
Filed under: uncultured Eubacteriales bacterium
Lineage: Bacteria; Bacillati; Bacillota; Clostridia; Eubacteriales
Description: uncultured Clostridiales bacterium partial 16S ribosomal RNA
Rfam family: Bacterial small subunit ribosomal RNA
Source: RNAcentral
CGGGUGAGUAACGCGUGAGUAACCUGCCUCACACAAGGGAAUAGCCUUUGGAAACGAAGAAUAAUACCCUAUAAAACCAUAAAAGCACAUGCAAUUAUGGUCAAAGUAUUAGCGGUGUAAGAUGGACUUGCGUCUGAUUAGCUAGUUGGUGAGAUAAAAGCCCACCAAGGCAACGAUCAGUAGCCGGCUUGAGAGAGUGUACGGCCACAUUGGGACUGAGACACGGCCCAG